UGAAGUCUGCCCGAAGCACGUAGUGUUUGAAGAUUUCGGUCCUAUGCAAUAUGAACCCAUGAAUCAUGUCAGGUCCUGACGGAAGCAGCAUUAAGUGGAUCCUCAUAUGUGCCGUAGGGUAGCCGAGAUUUAGCUGUCGACUUCGGUAACGUUUAUGAAUUGUGUUCGAUUCAGAGGUGUGCGG
This 184-nucleotide signal recognition particle RNA is filed under the name Staphylococcus lugdunensis. RNAcentral's name for it is "partial signal recognition particle sRNA large type". It matches the Rfam family "Bacterial large signal recognition particle RNA", at positions 84 to 256 of the family's 256-position model. Rfam says of the family: The signal recognition particle (SRP) is a universally conserved ribonucleoprotein involved in the co-translational targeting of proteins to membranes. Archaeal SRP consists of a 7S RNA and homologues of the eukaryotic SRP19 and SRP54 proteins. In most bacteria, the SRP consists of a 4.5S RNA and the Ffh protein (a homologue of the eukaryotic SRP54 protein). The record is from RNAcentral. Lineage: Bacteria; Bacillati; Bacillota; Bacilli; Caryophanales; Staphylococcaceae.